Molecule: long non-coding RNA, 1215 nt
Filed under: Equus caballus (horse)
Lineage: Eukaryota; Metazoa; Chordata; Mammalia; Perissodactyla; Equidae
Description: lncRNA (ENSECAG00000045632.1)
Source: RNAcentral
AACUUAUCAUCUCCAUCCUCUAAAAGCUCUAGAGGGCUGCAGUUUAGUCUGAAAACAACACUGGGUUUAGAAUUAGAAGCUCAGAGUUUGAAUCCUGACUCUGCAACUCUGAGCAACUCAUUUAAUGCCCUUGAAAUUCAGUUUCCUCAAAGAUCAUGGGGCUAACAAUGCCUUCCCUUUAGCGUUGGUGUAACAAUAAAAUAAAAUGAUAUAUGAGCAUGAUUUUGCUAGUGAGGGAGUUUUACAUAAACAGUAGGAUUUAAUUUAGAAGAAAAGUUUAUAUAGCAAUGUAAAAGAGGAGAGUGCCUCUUCCUGAGAUGUGGGCAUGUUGAGGCUUGACAGAUGUCAGCCAGGAAUGUCCUGGAAGUGAUCCCUGCUAUUGCUCCAACAUUCUCAAGACGCCCUGGGAAGCUCUUUCCAUUCCUCUCCUCUCUAUAGGUUUCCCUGGGAAAGUCAAACAAUCCUUGACCACAGGAGGAACUCCUUUCCUUCACGUGAUGGCAGACCACCAUUUUGUCAGGGAAUAAACGGGGCACCCGGGUCCUAAAGAGCAAGAACUUAGAGGAAAUCCACCCCUUAAUUUUAUUUCUUUUUUUUUCAACUUGGCUUCUAAAUGCUUGAUGUAGGUAGAUCAGUUGGGGAUGAAAUACUACAGAAGUUCAGAGAGAGCCACAGCUGAACCUGAGUUUGAACUUGAGUGUGACUGUCUGAUGCGCCAGGAUCAAGAGAUUCCAGCCUCACAGACCCGCAGGAGGUGAUGGGUGGGGAUGGAGGAGAGCAGCUCAAGUCGGAUUCUGAGCGGGGCCCAUCCACCAGUCUGAGCUCUGGGGAGAGAGCACAGCAGCCUCAGAAUAAUUUAAGGCAGCUAACAAAGUCACAAGCAAUGCAAGACUUUUUUAAAAAAUCUGUUGAAUGAAGAGACUUGUGGAAAGGAAAAGAAGCUGUAGGAGGAAUCAGAUGAAAAAGAGCAGUCCCCUGGAUCCACUGAGAAGGCCUGGGCCAUCUGAGGGUGCAGAGAAAGAGGCAGAUGCCUUGGAAGGGGCAUGGGCCCUAGAGUCUGACAGCCUUGGGUUCUAAACCUGCUCUCUUUGAUCUGAGUAUCAGCCACAUGGUCAGCUAAGAAGAAGGAAUGGAGUAGCCAUGAGAGAUCUCCUGAUAAGGAAUCAACUUUCUUCAGAAGGCAUCAGUUCCAGAAUAUUCCGUGCUUCUAGGGAA